CUGGUUGAUCCUGCCAGUAGUCAUAUGCUUGUCUAAAAAGAUUAAGCCAUGCAUGCCUAAGUGCAAGCCUUCAUACGGUAAAACCGCGAACGGCUCGUUAAAUCAGCUAUAGUUUAUUGGAUCACACCCGUCAAAUGGAAAACUGUAAUAACUCCAGAGGUAGUACAUGCCCGAAGCCCUGAUCCGCGAGGGCAUGGGUGCAAUUAUUAAAUCAGCAGCCAAACAGGUAGUGUUCUUCUGCUUUCGGGUGGGAGCUCCGCUACCUGUCGUCCUUCCGGUGACUCUGGAUAAUUGUUACAGGUCUCAGUCGGCCUUCCAUUGGCAACGGGUGCUUCAAAUAUCUGCCCUAUAAACGUUUGAUGGUAGGUGACCUGCAUACCAUGGCGCUAACGGAUAACGGGGAAUCAAGGUUCGAUUUCGGAGAAGGAGCCCGAGAAAGGGCUCCCACUUCCAAGGGAGGCAGCAAGUGCACAAAUUACCCACUGCCAGAACGGGGAGGCGGUGACGAAAAAUACCGAUGCGGGGCUCUUAUUGAAGCUCCGUAAUCAGAAUGAGUGAACUCUAAAUCCUUUCACGAUGAUCAAUUUGAGGGCAAGUCUGGCGCCAGGAGCCGCGGUAACUCCAGCUCCAAUAGCGUAUCUU
RNAcentral lists this non-coding RNA (642 nucleotides) under Schistocephalus solidus. RNAcentral describes it as "Eukaryotic small subunit ribosomal RNA". It matches the Rfam family "Eukaryotic small subunit ribosomal RNA", at positions 4 to 605 of the family's 1831-position model. Lineage: Eukaryota; Metazoa; Platyhelminthes; Cestoda; Diphyllobothriidea; Diphyllobothriidae. The record is from Rfam by way of RNAcentral.